Molecule: ribosomal RNA, 500 nt
Filed under: uncultured bacterium
Lineage: Bacteria
Description: partial 16S ribosomal RNA
Rfam family: Bacterial small subunit ribosomal RNA
Source: RNAcentral
AUUGAACGCUGGCGGAAUGCUUUACACAUGCAAGUCGAACGGCAGCACGGACUUCGGUCUGGUGGCGAGUGGCGAACGGGUGAGUAAUGUAUCGGAACGUGCCCAGUCGUGGGGGAUAACGUAGUGAAAAUUACGCUAAUACCGCAUACGAUCUAUGGAUGAAAGCGGGGGAUCGCAAGACCUCGCGCGAUUGGAGCGGCCGAUAUCAGAUUAGGUAGUUGGUGGGGUAAAGGCCCACCAAGCCAACGAUCUGUAGCUGGUCUGAGAGGACGACCAGCCACACUGGAACUGGGACACGGUCCAGACUACUACGGGAGGCAGCAGUGGGGAAUUUUGGACAAUGGGCGAAAGCCUGAUCCAGCCAUUCCGCGUGCAGGAUGAAGGCCCUCGGGUUGUAAACUGCUUUUGUACAGAACGAAAAGGUUUCUACUAAUACUAGGGGCUCAUGACGGUACUGUAAGAAUAAGCACCGGCUAACUACGUGCCAGCAGCCGCCGCAG